CUGAGCCUAAUCUUGGACCUGGAGUCUGAUGUGAUACACCUGCUUAGCCCAGAUGGCUACAGGCAGCAGAGUAACAGCUACCAAGACAGAUGCUUCACUCACGUUGUGAACUGAAGAUUGAUCUGGCUAAGCACAAAUAAGUCCCUCUUGCUGAGCUAACACAGAAGGUGAUCGUUCAAGGGCUGCUGGUAAUUCAGACCUGACACAUAACAAUGUGGACCAACAGAUACCCUUCUUUGUGGCUGCAUUGUGUGCUCUUUAUGUUUAGAAGUCUCAUCAGUAAGCAACGUGUGUAGUCCGAAGAAAGUGUUUGUGUCAAAACACUGUAAACUUAUUCCUGAAAAUGGCUGAGACUGACUACAGGAAGCAUUUUUAAACAUGAUGAAACACAAGAUGCUUAAUCAGAAAUAGAGCAAAUGACAGUGACAUUUUUAUGCUGGGCUUUACCAAAGUAGUGCAGAAUUAUUUCACUUUAAAUUCAUUAAUUUUUAAAGUAGAUAAGUAUGUUAUUUAUUUGCCUGGACACAUUUUAGUUCCAUGCUUUAACUAGAAAUUAAUAGUACUCUUGAUUAUAUUUUGAUUGGACUGCGACAGGUUUUGGCAUCCUAGGUUAAUAUUUUCUUAAGGUAUGGAUUUACAGCCUAUACACUACAUUGUUGAGAAGAAGAGAGCUACUAGGCUACUCAUGAAAAACUACUGGCAAAUGCAAAUAAUGCUGAUUACUUUUCCCUUCUGCUAUUGAUCAAUGUUUCCAAUAAAGAGGUGCUGUAUUUUACUGCUGUUAAAAUUUGAGAUUCUCCCUAUCCUCUUGUGCUCCUCAAACUUCCUUUUAUCUAUAACCAGAGAGAAUAUUUUUGGUUUUGAGGAGAAAAGUCUUUUCAGCAUCACCUUGCAAGUAGGUUAUUAGAGAACACAAGUCCUCCAACACCAUAAUCUGGCUAAUGUUUCAGGGAUGGUUAGAAGGGAAAAAAGAAAGAAGAAAUAAACAACUCCAAAGUAAAUUACCAGUGCAAUGCAAAACUACUUGAAGCUAGAGGAAUACAUUUUCUUUUGAUCUAUAUUGUUAGUAUGCAGACCUGAAUAAAAUUGAUAGAUUAAUUGGAAAAUAGCCCAUAGCACAUUCAUAGAU
Molecule: long non-coding RNA, 1129 nt
Organism: Anas platyrhynchos (mallard)
Lineage: Eukaryota; Metazoa; Chordata; Aves; Anseriformes; Anatidae
Source: RefSeq, a predicted model, not a curated record